GGGUCAGUAGGUUGGUCGUGCCACCGGUACGUACUGGUCUCACUGAUUCCUCCUUCCUGAAGAACCGUAAUGCCAUUAAUUUGGUGUUGCGGGGAAACAGGACUGUUACUUUGAAAUAAUUAGAGUGUUUAAAGCAGGCUAACGCUUGAAUACAUUAGCAUGGAAUAAUGAAAUAGGACGAUCGAUCCUAUUUUGUUGGUUUCUAGGAUUGACGUA
Molecule: ribosomal RNA, 216 nt
Filed under: Glomeromycotina sp.
Lineage: Eukaryota; Fungi; Glomeromycota
Description: partial small subunit ribosomal RNA
Rfam family: Eukaryotic small subunit ribosomal RNA (bases 40-216)
Source: RNAcentral